CAAGAUAUAGCUCAAACAGAAAAGCAUCUCCCUUACACCGAGAAGACAUUCGUGCAAAUCGAAUUAUUUUGA
Molecule: transfer RNA, 72 nt
Filed under: Siphamia roseigaster (pinkbreast siphonfish)
Lineage: Eukaryota; Metazoa; Chordata; Actinopteri; Kurtiformes; Apogonidae
Description: tRNA-Val
Rfam family: tRNA
About the family: Transfer RNA (tRNA) molecules are approximately 80 nucleotides in length. Their secondary structure includes four short double-helical elements and three loops (D, anti-codon, and T loops).
Source: RNAcentral